RNAcentral lists this ribosomal RNA (465 nucleotides) under Ammothella sp. CPA-2002. RNAcentral's name for it is "partial 16S ribosomal RNA". The record is from RNAcentral. Lineage: Eukaryota; Metazoa; Arthropoda; Pycnogonida; Pantopoda; Ammotheidae.
UCAGAUCGCGGUAAAUUUUUAAAAGUCGAACANGACUUUAUUCAUAUUAACUCCUUCAUUAAUAAAUAAUAUAAUCCAACAUCGAGGUCGUAAUCUUCUUUUUAAAUUUGAACUUACUAAAGAAAUAACGCUGUUACCCCCACAGUAAUUUAAUCGUAAAUUAAAAUAAAAUCAUUAAUAAAUUUAUUAAUUAUAAAUAUAAAAAAAGAUAUUCUAUUUUUUCCUCCCCAGAAAAACAUUAAAUAUUUAUACAAGACUAUAAGUUUUCAUGUAAAACUUGAUGGGGUCUUUUCGUCUUUUAAUAAAAUUUAUUAAACUUUUUCAUAUAAAAAUAAAAUUCAAAUAUAAUAAUAGAAACAGUAAUUCUUCCGUGAAACCUUUCAUUGAGUUUUCAAUUAAAAAACAAAUUAUUAUGCUACCUUUGCACGAUUAUAAUAUCGCGGCUAUUUAAUAAAUUUAUAUCAU